AACGAAGUGCCUGAGCGGUUAAAGGGGCAAACUGUAAAUUUGCUGUAUUAGUUUACUCGUAGGUUCGAAUCCUACCUUCGUUA
Monosiga brevicollis is the source of this 83-nucleotide non-coding RNA. The record is from Rfam. Lineage: Eukaryota; Choanoflagellata; Craspedida; Salpingoecidae.